UUUUUAAUCCAGUUGGUUAGAAUUUAUUGACGGGUAGUAUAAGAAACUGGUGUUACGUUGUGAUAAAUUAGUCGUUUGCUUUUAUAUCUGUUUACUGUUUUUGAUUUCGUUUUAUUUAUGGGGCAGAGAGGUCCCAUAGUGUUAUACAUGUUAUAUUUGUUUAUUAGUUAACAGGGUUAAAAUUACCCCAUUAUUUGAGUCUUGUUACAAUUUAUUUCACUAUUAUGGUUACAUUAUCUUUAGAUAACAGUUAUAUUUAAUGAUUUGUUAUAUAUAUGAUACAACGAGUAAUGAAAUAAAUUGUGUUGUUUCUCAAGUAUAUUCCGUCUGUUUAUUAAAAACAUUUCUAUAAUAAAAUUUUUAUAGUAAGGCCUGCUCGAUGUUUAAUUAUCAAUGGCCGCAGUAUUUUGACUGUGCGAAGGUAGCAUAAUUAAUUGCCCCUUAAUUAGGGGCUUGUUUGAAUGGCUUGACGUGGUUGUUGCGAACAUCAUUUUUAUUUUUGAAAUUAAUUCUGAGGGUACAGAAUCCUCUUAUAUUAAUUAGACGGAAAGACCCCGGGAUCUUUGGUUUUGCCUGGGGCAGGUUAUAUUAUUUCAAUUCUGUAUUAUGAUCUUUUUUUAGGCUUAUUGAAUUAAGUUACCCCGGGGAUAACAGUGUAAUAAUUUAUUAGAGACCUUAUCGAUUAAAUUGCUUGCCACCUCGAUGUUGACUUAGGUAAAUAACAGGGCGCAGUAGUUUUGUUAU
This 744-nucleotide ribosomal RNA is filed under the name Penetrocephalus ganapattii. RNAcentral describes it as "partial 16S ribosomal RNA". The stretch from base 325 to 472 matches the Rfam family "Bacterial large subunit ribosomal RNA", at positions 1797 to 2006 of the family's 2925-position model. Lineage: Eukaryota; Metazoa; Platyhelminthes; Cestoda; Bothriocephalidea; Bothriocephalidae. The record is from RNAcentral.